This 2923-nucleotide ribosomal RNA is filed under the name Klebsiella pneumoniae. RNAcentral's name for it is "bacterial LSU rRNA". It matches the Rfam family "Bacterial large subunit ribosomal RNA". Lineage: Bacteria; Pseudomonadati; Pseudomonadota; Gammaproteobacteria; Enterobacterales; Enterobacteriaceae. The record is from RNAcentral.
GGGUUGUGAGGUUAAGCGACUAAGCGUACACGGUGGAUGCCCUGGCAGUCAGAGGCGAUGAAGGACGUGCUAAUCUGCGAAAAGCGUCGGUAAGGUGAUAUGAACCGUUAUAGCCGGCGAUGUCCGAAUGGGGAAACCCAGUGUGAUUCGUCACACUAUCGUUAACUGAAUACAUAGGUUAACGAGGCGAACCGGGGGAACUGAAACAUCUAAGUACCCCGAGGAAAAGAAAUCAACCGAGAUUCCCCCAGUAGCGGCGAGCGAACGGGGAGCAGCCCAGAGUCUGAAUCAGCUUGUGUAUUAGUGGAACGGUCUGGAAAGUCCGACGGUACAGGGUGAUAGUCCCGUACACCAAAAUGCACAGGCUGUGAACUCGAAGAGUAGGGCGGGACACGUGGUAUCCUGUCUGAAUAUGGGGGGACCAUCCUCCAAGGCUAAAUACUCCUGACUGACCGAUAGUAAACCAGUACCGUGAGGGAAAGGCGAAAAGAACCCCGGCGAGGGGAGUGAAAAAGAACCUGAAACCGUGUACGUACAAGCAGUGGGAGCACCUUCGGGUGUGACUGCGUACCUUUUGUAUAAUGGGUCAGCGACUUAUAUUCUGUAGCAAGGUUAACCGUAUAGGGGAGCCGCAGGGAAACCGAGUCUUAACUGGGCGUUAAGUUGCAGGGUAUAGACCCGAAACCCGGUGAUCUAGCCAUGGGCAGGUUGAAGGUUGGGUAACACUAACUGGAGGACCGAACCGACUAAUGUUGAAAAAUUAGCGGAUGACUUGUGGCUGGGGGUGAAAGGCCAAUCAAACCGGGAGAUAGCUGGUUCUCCCCGAAAGCUAUUUAGGUAGCGCCUCGUGAACUCAUCUUCGGGGGUAGAGCACUGUUUCGGCUAGGGGGUCAUCCCGACUUACCAACCCGAUGCAAACUACGAAUACCGAAGAAUGUUAUCACGGGAGACACACGGCGGGUGCUAACGUCCGUCGUGAAGAGGGAAACAACCCAGACCGCCAGCUAAGGUCCCAAAGUCAUGGUUAAGUGGGAAACGAUGUGGGAAGGCACAGACAGCCAGGAUGUUGGCUUAGAAGCAGCCAUCAUUUAAAGAAAGCGUAAUAGCUCACUGGUCGAGUCGGCCUGCGCGGAAGAUGUAACGGGGCUAAACCAUGCACCGAAGCUGCGGCAGCGACACUAUGUGUUGUUGGGUAGGGGAGCGUUCUGUAAGCCUGCGAAGGUGACCUGUGAGGGUUGCUGGAGGUAUCAGAAGUGCGAAUGCUGACAUAAGUAACGAUAAAGCGGGUGAAAAGCCCGCUCGCCGGAAGACCAAGGGUUCCUGUCCAACGUUAAUCGGGGCAGGGUGAGUCGACCCCUAAGGCGAGGCCGAAAGGCGUAGUCGAUGGGAAACAGGUUAAUAUUCCUGUACUUGGUGUUACUGCGAAGGGGGGACGGAGAAGGCUAUGUUAGCCGGGCGACGGUUGUCCCGGUUUAAGCAUGUAGGCUGGUUGUCCAGGCAAAUCCGGAUAAUCAAGGCUGAGGUGUGAUGACGAGGUACUACGGUGCUGAAGUAACAAAUGCCCUGCUUCCAGGAAAAGCCUCUAAGCAUCAGGUAACAUCAAAUCGUACCCCAAACCGACACAGGUGGUCAGGUAGAGAAUACCAAGGCGCUUGAGAGAACUCGGGUGAAGGAACUAGGCAAAAUGGUGCCGUAACUUCGGGAGAAGGCACGCUGGUGUGUAGGUGAAGUCCCUGCGGAUGGAGCUGAGACCAGUCGAAGAUACCAGCUGGCUGCAACUGUUUAUUAAAAACACAGCACUGUGCAAACACGAAAGUGGACGUAUACGGUGUGACGCCUGCCCGGUGCCGGAAGGUUAAUUGAUGGGGUUAUCCGUAAGGAGAAGCUCUUGAUCGAAGCCCCGGUAAACGGCGGCCGUAACUAUAACGGUCCUAAGGUAGCGAAAUUCCUUGUCGGGUAAGUUCCGACCUGCACGAAUGGCGUAAUGAUGGCCAGGCUGUCUCCACCCGAGACUCAGUGAAAUUGAACUCGCUGUGAAGAUGCAGUGUACCCGCGGCAAGACGGAAAGACCCCGUGAACCUUUACUAUAGCUUGACACUGAACAUUGAGCCUUGAUGUGUAGGAUAGGUGGGAGGCUUUGAAGCGUGGACGCCAGUCUGCGUGGAGCCAACCUUGAAAUACCACCCUUUAAUGUUUGAUGUUCUAACGUUGGCCCCUGACCGGGGUUGCGGACAGUGUCUGGUGGGUAGUUUGACUGGGGCGGUCUCCUCCCAAAGCGUAACGGAGGAGCACGAAGGUUAGCUAAUCCUGGUCGGACAUCAGGAGGUUAGUGCAAUGGCAUAAGCUAGCUUGACUGCGAGCGUGACGGCGCGAGCAGGUGCGAAAGCAGGUCAUAGUGAUCCGGUGGUUCUGAAUGGAAGGGCCAUCGCUCAACGGAUAAAAGGUACUCCGGGGAUAACAGGCUGAUACCGCCCAAGAGUUCAUAUCGACGGCGGUGUUUGGCACCUCGAUGUCGGCUCAUCACAUCCUGGGGCUGAAGUAGGUCCCAAGGGUAUGGCUGUUCGCCAUUUAAAGUGGUACGCGAGCUGGGUUUAGAACGUCGUGAGACAGUUCGGUCCCUAUCUGCCGUGGGCGCUGGAGAAUUGAGGGGGGCUGCUCCUAGUACGAGAGGACCGGAGUGGACGCAUCACUGGUGUUCGGGUUGUCAUGCCAAUGGCACUGCCCGGUAGCUAAAUGCGGAAGAGAUAAGUGCUGAAAGCAUCUAAGCACGAAACUUGCCCCGAGAUGAGUUCUCCCUGAGACUUUAAGUCUCCUGAAGGAACGUUGAAGACGACGACGUUGAUAGGCCGGGUGUGUAAGCGCAGCGAUGCGUUGAGCUAACCGGUACUAAUGAACCGUGAGGCUUAACCUUACAACGCCGAAG